Molecule: long non-coding RNA, 616 nt
Filed under: Vulpes vulpes (red fox)
Lineage: Eukaryota; Metazoa; Chordata; Mammalia; Carnivora; Canidae
Description: lncRNA (ENSVVUG00000014060.1)
Source: RNAcentral
GGAAACCUGUUGUAGGUCCCCAACAACCUGCAGCUGCAGGUCCCCAAAUCCUGACUCUACCACAAUAGGCAGGCAGAAGGGAGCCUGCAUUGUGCAAGCCCCUGCUGAUGCUGAGUGGCAACGCUGGGAGAAACUGAAAAGUGAAGCGAAAUGGCAGAAGGUGGUCUGGAAGGAAGGAAAUCAGAAGUCGACAAUGUUUACGAAAUGUUUAUGAGAGUAGAGACACCAUUUUUGUUUUCAACCUUGUUUUUGUUUUGUUGCUUUCUGGUGCGCUGCUAAGAAAGGACCAGAGGACAGAAUGAAACAGUGACGAGGUCACUCAGACACUUGCUUGCCUAUGAUUUAAAUCCUGACCCAGUUCCUUGUCAAAAAAGCCCAGCCCCGCUGCCUCCUCAAGGAUGGCGUGGGGCCAUCCAUGGAAAACAUGUCCAUGCAUAAGAGAUUUUGGUAUGAUUAGUUAUUCAGCUAAACACGGUGUCAAAGCAGCACAUUGCUCCCAUCUGACAGGCUAUGGAUGCCAGCCAUCUCUGCCUAUCACUCACAGCAAAGUCAGUUGCAAAUAGAGGUGGGUUACCUUCGCAGAAUACACAAAGCCCUGCUGUGACUUAGCUUUUCU